GAUGAACGCUAGCUACAGGCUUAACACAUGCAAGUCGAGGGGAAACGGCGUUGAGUGCUUGCACUCUUCGGACGUCGACCGGCGCACGGGUGAGUAACGCGUAUCCAACCUUCCCAUAACUAAGGGAUAACCUACCGAAAGGCAGACUAAUACCUUAUGUAAUUCUUAGAUGACAUCAGAAGAGAAUGAAAGAUUUAUCGGUUAUGGAUGGGGAUGCGUCUGAUUAGCUUGUUGGCGGGGUAACAGCCCACCAAGGCAACGAUCAGUAGGGGUUCUGAGAGGAAGGUCCCCCACAUUGGAACUGAGACACGGUCCAAACUCCUACGGGAGGCAGCAGUGAGGAAUAUUGGUCAAUGGACGCAAGUCUGAACCAGCCAAGUAGCGUGCAGGAUGACGGCCCUAUGGGUUGUAAACUGCUUUUAUGUGGGAAUAAAGUGGCGCACGUGUGCGCCAUUGCAUGUACCUCAUGAAUAAGGACCGGCUAAUUCCGUGCCAGCAGCCGCGGUAAUACGGAAGGUCCGGGCGUUAUCCGGAUUUAUUGGGUUUAAAGGGAGUGUAGGCGGUCUGUUAAGCGUGUUGUGAAAUUUAGGUGCUCAACAUUUAACUUGCAGCGCGAACUGUCAGACUUGAGUACACGCAGCGCAGGCGGAAUUCAUGGUGUAGCGGUGAAAUGCUUAGAUAUCAUGAGGAACUCCGAUCGCGAAGGCAGCCUGCGGGAGUGUUACUGACGCUUAAGCUCGAAGGUGCGGGUAUCGAACAGG
RNAcentral lists this ribosomal RNA (761 nucleotides) under Prevotella nigrescens. RNAcentral describes it as "bacterial SSU rRNA". It matches the Rfam family "Bacterial small subunit ribosomal RNA", at positions 28 to 776 of the family's 1533-position model. Lineage: Bacteria; Pseudomonadati; Bacteroidota; Bacteroidia; Bacteroidales; Prevotellaceae. The record is from RNAcentral.